UUGUCUCAAAGAUUAAGCCAUGCAUGUCUCAGUACAAGCCGAAUUAAGGUGAAACCGCGAAAGGCUCAUUAAAUCAGUUAUGGUUCCUUAGAUCGUACAAAACAAUUACUUGGAUAACUGUGGUAAUUCUAGAGCUAAUACAUGCCAACAGAGCUCCGACCGGAGACGGAAGGAGUGCUUUUAUUAGAUCAAAACCAAUCGGCGGCGGGUUCGCGCUCNNCAUCGUACAACUUGGUGACUCUGAAUAACUUUUAGCUGAUCGCACGGUCUCGCACCGGCGACGCAUCUUUCAAAUGUCUGCCUUAUCAACUGUCGAUGGUAGGUUUUGCGCCUACCAUGGUCGUAACGGGUAACGGGGAAUCAGGGUUCGAUUCCGGAGAGGGAGCCUGAGAAACGGCUACCACAUCCAAGGAAGGCAGCAGGCGCGCAAAUUACCCACUCCCGGCACGGGGAGGUAGUGACGAAAAAUAACGAUACGGGACUCAUCCGAGGCCCCGUAAUCGGAAUGAGAACACUCUAAACCCUUUAACGAGGAUCAAUUGGAGGGCAAGUCUGGUGCCAGCAGCCGCGGUAAUUCCAGCUCCAAUAGCGUAUAUUAAAGUUGUUGCGGUUAAAAAGCUCGUAGUCGAAUUUGUGUCCCGCGCCGCCGGUUCAUCGUUCGCGGUGUCAACUGGCGAGCGGCGGGACGUCCUGCCGGUGGGCCGGCAUGGGCUCGGGCGUUCGCGCGCUCGGGCACCCAGCCGCCCGUUUCAAUCCUGCCGCGGUGCUCUUGACUGAGUGUCGAGGAGGGCCGGUACGUUUACUUUGAACAAAUUAAAGUGCUUAAAGCAGGCUGAAAAUUUCGCCUGAAUAUCGUGUGCAUGGAAUAAUAGAAUAGGACCUCGUUUCCAUUUUAUUGGUUUUCGGAACACCGAGGUAAUGAUUAAUAGGAACGGAUGGGGGCAUUCGUAUUGCGACGUUAGAGGUGAAAUUCUUGGAUCGUCGCAAGACGAACAGAAGCGAAAGCAUUUGCCAAAAACGCUUUCAUUGAUCAAGAACGAAAGUUAGAGGUUCGAAGGCGAUCAGAUACCGCCCUAGUUCUAACCAUAAACGAUGCCAGCUAGCGAUCCG
This 1110-nucleotide ribosomal RNA is filed under the name Aralius sp. DDM-2009. Its description in RNAcentral is "SSU rRNA". It matches the Rfam family "Eukaryotic small subunit ribosomal RNA", at positions 32 to 1056 of the family's 1831-position model. The record is from RNAcentral. Lineage: Eukaryota; Metazoa; Arthropoda; Insecta; Coleoptera; Belidae.